GCCUACGGGUGGCAGCAGUAGGGAAUAUUAGAAAUGGACGAAAGUCUGAUCUAGCAACACCGCGUGUGCGAAGAAGGCCUUCGGGUUGUAAAGCACUUUUUGGAAGGAUUAGGAAGGAAUGUACUUCCAGAAUAAGUCUCGGCUAACUACGUGCCAGCAGCCGCGGUAACACGUAGGAGGCAAACGUUAUCCGGAUUUACUGGGCGUAAAGCGCGUGUAGGUGGUUCUGUAAGUAGGGCGUGAAAGCUCCUGGCUCAACUGGGAGAGGCCGUUCUAAACUGCAGAGCUAGAGGAUGGUAGAGGGAGGUGGAAUUCCGGGUGUAGCGGUGGAAUGCGCAGAUAUCCGGAGGAACACCAGUGGCGAAAGCGGCCUCCUGGACCAUUCCUGACACUCAGACGCGAAAGCUAGGGUAGCAAACGGGAUUAGAUACCCGAGUAGUC
This 441-nucleotide ribosomal RNA is filed under the name uncultured bacterium. RNAcentral's name for it is "bacterial SSU rRNA". It matches the Rfam family "Bacterial small subunit ribosomal RNA", at positions 337 to 795 of the family's 1533-position model. The record is from RNAcentral.